RNAcentral lists this ribosomal RNA (253 nucleotides) under uncultured bacterium. Its description in RNAcentral is "partial 16S ribosomal RNA". It matches the Rfam family "Bacterial small subunit ribosomal RNA", at positions 524 to 776 of the family's 1533-position model. The record is from RNAcentral.
UACGUAGGGCGCAAGCGUUAUCCGGAAUUAUUGGGCGUAAAGAGCUCGUAGGCGGUUUGUCGCGUCUGCCGUGAAAGUCCGGGGCUCAACUCCGGAUCUGCGGUGGGUACGGGCAGACUAGAGUGCGGUAGGGGAGACUGGAAUUCCUGGUGUAGCGGUGGAAUGCGCAGAUAUCAGGAGGAACACCGAUGGCGAAGGCAGGUCUCUGGGCCGCAACUGACGCUGAGGAGCGAAAGCAUGGGGAGCGAACAGG